CUGUGAGCUCGAUGAGUAGGGCGGGACACGUGGUAUCCUGUCUGAAUAUGGGGGGACCAUCCUCCAAGGCUAAAUACUCCUGACUGACCGAUAGUGAACCAGUACCGUGAGGGAAAGGCGAAAAGAACCCCGGCGAGGGGAGUGAAAAAGAACCUGAAACCGUGUACGUACAAGCAGUGGGAGCACAGAGCAAUCUGUGUGACUGCGUACCUUUUGUAUAAUGGGUCAGCGACUUAUAUUCUGUAGCAAGGUUAACCGAAUAGGGGAGCCGAAGGGAAACCGAGUCUUAACUGGGCGUUAAGUUGCAGGGUAUAGACCCGAAACCCGGUGAUCUAGCCAUGGGCAGGUUGAAGGUUGGGUAACACUAACUGGAGGACCGAACCGACUAAUGUUGAAAAAUUAGCGGAUGACUUGUGGCUGGGGGUGAAAGGCCAAUCAAACCGGGAGAUAGCUGGUUCUCCCCGAAAGCUAUUUAGGUAGCGCCUCGUGAAUUCAUCUCCGGGGGUAGAGCACUGUUUCGGCAAGGGGGUCAUCCCGACUUACCAACCCGAUGCAAACUGCGAAUACCGGAGAAUGUUAUCACGGGAGACACACGGCGGGUGCUAACGUCCGUCGUGAAGAGGGAAACAACCCAGACCGCCAGCUAAGGUCCCAAAGUCAUGGUUAAGUGGGAAACGAUGUGGGAAGGCCCAGACAGCCAGGAUGUUGGCUUAGAAGCAGCCAUCAUUUAAAGAAAGCGUAAUAGCUCACUGGUCGAGUCGGCCUGCGCGGAAGAUGUAACGGGGCUAAACCAUGCACCGAAGCUGCGGCAGCGACGCUUAUGCGUUGUUGGGUAGGGGAGCGUUCUGUAAGCCUGUGAAGGUGUACUGUGAGGUAUGCUGGAGGUAUCAGAAGUGCGAAUGCUGACAUAAGUAACGAUAAAGCGGGUGAAAAGCCCGCUCGCCGGAAGACCAAGGGUUCCUGUCCAACGUUAAUCGGGGCAGGGUGAGUCGACCCCUAAGGCGAGGCCGAAAGGCGUAGUCGAUGGGAAACAGGUUAAUAUUCCUGUACUUGGUGUUACUGCGAAGGGGGGACGGAGAAGGCUAUGUUGGCCGGGCGACGGUUGUCCCGGUUUAAGCGUGUAGGCUGGUUUUCCAGGCAAAUCCGGAAAAUCAAGGCUGAGGCGUGAUGACGAGGCACUACGGUGCUGAAGCAACAAAUGCCCUGCUUCCAGGAAAAGCCUCUAAGCAUCAGGUAACAUCAAAUCGUACCCCAAACCGACACAGGUGGUCAGGUAGAGAAUACCAAGGCGCUUGAGAGAACUCGGGUGAAGGAACUAGGCAAAAUGGUGCCGUAACUUCGGGAGAAGGCACGCUGAUAUGUAGGUGAAGUCCCUCGCGGAUGGAGCUGAAAUCAGUCGAAGAUACCAGCUGGCUGCAACUGUUUAUUAAAAACACAGCACUGUGCAAACACGAAAGUGGACGUAUACGGUGUGACGCCUGCCCGGUGCCGGAAGGUUAAUUGAUGGGGUCAGCGCAAGCGAAGCUCUUGAUCGAAGCCCCGGUAAACGGCGGCCGUAACUAUAACGGUCCUAAGGUAGCGAAAUUCCUUGUCGGGUAAGUUCCGACCUGCACGAAUGGCGUAAUGAUGGCCAGGCUGUCUCCACCCGAGACUCAGUGAAAUUGAACUCGCUGUGAAGAUGCAGUGUACCCGCGGCAAGACGGAAAGACCCCGUGAACCUUUACUAUAGCUUGACACUGAACAUUGAGCCUUGAUGUGUAGGAUAGGUGGGAGGCUU
This 1777-nucleotide ribosomal RNA is filed under the name Escherichia coli. RNAcentral's name for it is "partial 23S ribosomal RNA". It matches the Rfam family "Bacterial large subunit ribosomal RNA", at positions 397 to 2157 of the family's 2925-position model. The record is from RNAcentral. Lineage: Bacteria; Pseudomonadati; Pseudomonadota; Gammaproteobacteria; Enterobacterales; Enterobacteriaceae.